UACAUGCAAGUCGAACGCUUCUUUUUCCACCGGAGCUUGCUCCACCGGAAAAAGAGGAGUGGCGAACGGGUGAGUAACACGUGGGUAACCUGCCCAUCAGAAGGGGAUAACACUUGGAAACAGGUGCUAAUACCGUAUAACAAUCAAAACCGCAUGGUUUUGAUUUGAAAGGCGCUUUCGGGUGUCGCUGAUGGAUGGACCCGCGGUGCAUUAGCUAGUUGGUGAGGUAACGGCUCACCAAGGCCACGAUGCAUAGCCGACCUGAGAGGGUGAUCGGCCACAUUGGGACUGAGACACGGCCCAAACUCCUACGGGAGGCAGCAGUAGGGAAUCUUCGGCAAUGGACGAAAGUCUGACCGAGCAACGCCGCGUGAGUGAAGAAGGUUUUCGGAUCGUAAAACUCUGUUGUUAGAGAAGAACAAGGAUGAGAGUAACUGUUCAUCCCUUGACGGUAUCUAACCAGAAAGCCACGGCUAACUACGUGCCAGCAGCCGCGGUAAUACGUAGGUGGCAAGCGUUGUCCGGAUUUAUUGGGCGUAAAGCGAGCGCAGGCGGUUUCUUAAGUCUGAUGUGAAAGCCCCCGGCUCAACCGGGGAGGGUCAUUGGAAACUGGGAGACUUGAGUGCAGAAGAGGAGAGUGGAAUUCCAUGUGUAGCGGUGAAAUGCGUAGAUAUAUGGAGGAACACCAGUGGCGAAGGCGGCUCUCUGGUCUGUAACUGACGCUGAGGCUCGAAAGCGUGGGGAGCAAACAGGAUUAGAUACCCUGGUAGUCCACGCCGUAACGAUGAGUGCUAGUUUGGAGGGUUUCGGCCUUUCAGUGUUGCAGCUAACCCAUAAACCAUCCCCCCGGGGGAGUAGGCCCCCAAGGUUGAAAUUCAAAGAAAUGACCGGGGGCCCCCCCAAGCGGUGGACCAGGUGGUUUAAUUCGAACCAACGGGAGGACCCUACCCGGUUCUGGCCUCCCUUUGCCCCUUUUAGAAAUAGAGUUUCCCUUUUGGGGCCAAAGGACCAGUGGGUCCAUGGUGUUCUUCACCUCGGUUCUUGGAAGGUUGGGUUAAUUCCCCCACCAAGCCCACCCCUAAUUUUUAUUUCCCUUCAUUCAUUUGGCCAUUCUACCAAGCCUCCCGGGGCCAACCGGGAGGAAGGGGGGGAGGAGGUCAAUUCUCCAUCCCCCUUAUGCCUUGGGUUCCCCCCGUGUUCCAAUGGAAAGUCCACGGAGUGGGGAAGUCGGGGGGUUAAGUUAUUUUUUAAAAGUUUUUUUCAUUUGGGAUGCCGGGCUCCAAUUCCCUUCCAGGAACCGGGAAUCGUUGGUAAUCGGGGUUAACCACGCCCCGGUGAAAAGGUUCCCGGCCUUUGUCCCCCCCCCCCGCCCCCCCCCAAAGUUUGGUACCCCCGGAAUUGGGGGAGGUACCUUUUGGAGCCAGCCGCCUAAGGUG
This 1436-nucleotide ribosomal RNA is filed under the name uncultured bacterium. RNAcentral's name for it is "partial 16S ribosomal RNA". It matches the Rfam family "Bacterial small subunit ribosomal RNA". The record is from RNAcentral.